Psammomys obesus (fat sand rat) is the source of this 130-nucleotide small nucleolar RNA. RefSeq annotates it as small nucleolar RNA SNORA17. The record is from RefSeq and is a predicted model, not a curated record. The transcript has a single exon. NCBI's taxonomy places the organism in Eukaryota, Metazoa, Chordata, Mammalia, Rodentia, Muridae.
CUUACCCUUAGAACUACUGCAGGGUGGCUGCUGUGUCACACGUGCAUCAGUGGGUGUCAGAGAGGAGAGAACCUACACCCACCUCAGUGCUCUGACCUGUGAGCAGCUGAGUGACUAGAAACCUAACAAC